Molecule: non-coding RNA, 3635 nt
Organism: Myodes glareolus (Bank vole)
Lineage: Eukaryota; Metazoa; Chordata; Mammalia; Rodentia; Cricetidae
Source: RefSeq, a predicted model, not a curated record
UAAGAAAUAAUAAUUACCUUUCAGCCAGACAUGACUUACUCAGGGAAUCAAAGUCUUAAAUCACUACAAGGUCACACGCAUUCCAACAAUGGUGUCAUAUAUUCACAUUGUAAAAGGAAACCUCAGUUUUGUUUUAGAGGCCAUUGUCUCAACCGCUUGGCCACCUUGUCCUAUCCUAAUUUUAUUUUAAUAACCCAGCUUACAGCAGUGUAGUGUUUGUUAACAGUAGAUUUUAAAAAACUAUUACUUUAUACUCUGGAAUUUUAUUUAAAUUAAGCAUAUACUUUCUGCAAUAUUGCCCACCUUGGAAUUAGUGGGAAAAAUGAUUUGGCUGAUAAAAUGUUAUCAGACUCAUACGUUGAAGGAGAAAACUUUUCAGUAAAUUUUCACAUUAAGUGUAUCUCGGUUUUGUUUGGAUCAUUAACAGGAAGUCAGUAACUGACGCGUUACUAAAGAAUCAAACUACGAAAUCUUAGAUUAAAACUCCUAUCAUGAGAAAACGAAUAUAACAAUGUGCUGUCCUUUUAUAAGAAAAUAUACUUUUCCUUGCUCUGCAGCCCCACACUUUUCUUUUUCUUAGAAUGGACGGGCAACUUUGCAAGGUUCCCCUUUCAGUAUCAUUAUUUACAACACUCGGUUUCCAUAGAUAUGCAGAGACUGUUUCCAUAGCAACGUUCUGGGUUUCCUAAACAAAUAGUAUCAUAGCGUUAAUCUUGUUUCAGUAUUAUUGAACUAUGUUAUUAGAUACAAAAUUUCAAAAAAAAAUAAUUUAAGCAGGGCUUGAAACUAGGUGGGUUGGUUUUUAUCGCUUGGUGCUUUCAAUAUUAAAUUUCAAUCUUAUAUUAAAAUAUAUACAUCCAUUUGAAAAAUAGCAAGGAUUUUUGCAUAGUAAACAUGAUACCAAUUUUAUUCACUGGUUAUAAAACACUGUAAUUUAAUAAGAGGAUACUCUAAUACAUGCGCAGAAUUCGGGGAGAGGAUUACUAUCUUCAGAUAAAAUGACUGCUUCUCAGUGCACUUGGAGGGUUUAGCCUCCCCAGAUCUCCAAAGUCAUUUGUAACAACCCACCGCAAUAGCUCCCUUUGCUCUUUUUGCAUUUUAAGUAAUUUCUGCCAUUUUUUUUCCUUUUAUUUUUCCACUGCUGAGGCACAGCUGUGAAAUAGACUUCAGGAAAAUCUUUAUGAAUUCCUUGUUUGCCAGCUUAGAACAAAAGAGAAAAGCCAUUCUAGAAGGUUUGGGAAGGAUUUUUCUUUAUAAAGUUGCUUAUCAUUACCACUGAUUUCUUUUCUGGAGAGGAAAUCUCUUGGAUGCUUUCGUAAAUGAGCUAGAAUCUUACCCUGAUCUCUCAAGGCCUGUCUGAAAUGACAGCUUUGUUUAAUUGAAUUGAUAGUCUUUGACUUCUAAGGGUGAGGGUUAGCUUGCCCAUGGAGAGAAGACUGGUAAUACAUAAGUGAGAGGAAAUGUUGAUAGUGCUUUUUCUUAGAGGAGGAAGGGGUGUGUUGCUUUUUUCCUGCAAAAUGUUCAGACAAGACCUCUCAGUGGAGUGAAACUUUAUAUUUGGCUUUCUGACCAGUUUAACAUGUGGUUUCGGAAGCUCCUUUUCACUUCCUUUUUGGAUGUGUCUUCCUUUAAGAAUGUAUUUAAACUGGGCCUUCCCUACUACACUUAGCACUGAAAGGGACUGGGAUGUGCACUUACUAUACUAAUUUGCAUGCAUACAGAAAAAAAAAAGUCUGCUUAAGGGAGAGGAUCCAGUAACGGAUUUAAGUUGACAUUCAAAUUCAUAACCACCUUUGUGCAAGAGUCUGAGCUUGGGGCAGGCAGGUAAGGCAGCUUUGUAACUUAUUAGAUGUUUCUGAUACUGUUUAAAAUGUCCCCGAGUUUCACUUUCCUGUUCUAUGAAAUAAUAAAAAAAAAAUACCAGCUACUCCCCACAAUGCUUGGGAAAUUAGUUGGAUCCAUAUCCUUUGACUAGUAAAGGAUAGUCCCAAGCCAUAGCUUUCUGUUACAUGGUUCACGUUUUUCUUUUCUCAUUUGUUGCAUGGGUCCCGGUUGAGCCUGGUUCUUCUGUUGUCCUGGACAGAGCUGCGUCCACAGAAGUCUCACACCUGGUCAAGGCGCUUUGGCUCUCUGCCACACCUCCUAACAUCAACUGACACUUCGUAGCAGACAGUUUUCAUUCUCUCAGCCCACAGGUGAUCAGCAGCCGCGGGGGUAGAGAUAAAUAGGUGACUUAUUACUGACGUCACAGGGAGCUCCGUGCAGGCCUCAGAUGAACCAGGACAGAAUUUGAACACUAAGAUAUGGAGUACUGUGAUUAAAAACGUAAAUACCCUUCGCUCGCUUUCAAUGACAGAUUCUGGCAACAGGGGAAUCUCAUCAAAGCAAGAGAAAUGAAAGUAGAACAAAGUAUACAUCGGACAGAAACAGGAAAGGCAGGAGAUAGUUUCCACCUGCACGUGGCAAUAAAGCCAUGAGGUUUGAGUGAGUGGAAGAGUCACGACGGACGUCACAGUAACACAAUAAAGUGUGUGUGGUGUUGAGAACAGAGGAGACAAAGAAACCUUAUGCAGCAGAGAGAUCCCAGUCCUCUCAGAUGGGAUGGAGAGAAAAUAUUUGAGGGGAUCAAGAAAGACGUGAGUGCACAACAACAGAGCAACAUCAUGGGAGAAAUGCUUGCUAUUCUGCUAAGGAAUUCGCUUUGGACAAUUUUAACAAGCACAGUCAGUGUGCAGAAACACUAUGGGCUUCCUGCAUUCAUUCUCUCCAACUACCCUUUUGUAGCAACCCUUGUGUGACAAGAGUCCUACUGCAACGGUGGUCUCUCUAGGAAGCGAGUAUGGCUCUAACUAUGAGUGGAAGAUGGCUCUGCUCCUGUACAAAAAUCAUAAUUUCCAUCUCAAAAUUCUAUAUUCUGAGCAACAAGAUGGUUCACUCACCUUCUUUUUAACAAAGAAAAAGAUCUGAAGAGAUCUGAUAGCCAAAGGAUCAUCAGCAAAUUUAAGUGAGGAAAUUGAAAAUGUUGACAAACUGGCAUAAUUGUGUCAAAUAGUAUGUUGUAUUUUUAAAAAGACAGAACCAUACUGAAAUAAUGAACCCUUGGGGCUCAAGAGACUUCUCAGCAGUUACGAGUGUUCACUGCCUUGCAGAGGAUCAGAAUUCAGUUUAAACACCCAUGUUGGGCUCUUGAAACCACCUGUAACUUUAGAUUCAGGAUUCUGAUACUCUCUUUCUCCUCUUUGGUCAUCUUCACUUUUGUGCGCAUAACCAAACAUAGAAACACACACACACACACACACACACACACACACACACACACACCUAAAAAAAGUAUAAAUCUUUUUAAAAAUUUAAUUAUCUCGUCCUUCUGUUGCACUUUUCUGAAGUGUUCCCACAUGAGGGGCUUCAUUUGAAGAGAAUGACGAUCUCAUAAGAUGUACUAAGUUCUUGUGACUGAAACCAUUAGAAAAACCCUCAAAUUGUUUAGUUCUGGUAAGGUAAUAAGGUUCCCAGAAAGCAAGUGUUUCUCAAGAUUAAUUCCUCAUUAAAAUCUUGAAGACACACCAGUGAGCAUUUUCCUCCAUUUGAGCAUUUUUGAGCAUCUUUUCAUUUUGCUUUUGUUUUCUUUUUUUUCC